CCCACGUCUCCCAGUGGGAGACGUUGGAUGUCCCCCUGGCCAUUUAAUGAAUUUUGGGUCUUCUUCUUCCUCAUAACACCAAACAGAGAGAGCACACCAAACAGAGAGCACGAAAGGGGUUGCGAUUUUAGGGUUUUCAAGGUUGUGAUUUUGGUGGUGAGAUUUUAGAGAGUACUUUGCAUCAAAACUUCUAUAUCUAUCAAUCACACAUUUGAGAUGGUUAGGUCACUAUUAUAGGGGAAAUGCUGCCCGAUAUUAUUUAGGAUAAUAAACGAUUAGUUGAGAACGGGCAUUACUUGAUUGAACAUGCAAGUCCCAGGCAUUACUUGAGAACGGUAUUAUUAAUUAAAAUUUACAAAUUAUUUUUGAAACUAUAAAUGUAAUCAAAUAAUUAAUUAAUAUAUUUUACUUUAUAUUUCUUGCAGCUAACAAGUACAUCAUAUACAGAGGCACAAAUUGAUGAGUUGCGACAAGAAUGGGCGACAUAUAUGUUGCCGAUAAUCCAAAGUUACCGACCUCGUUGAUAGGUUUUUUUUUAAUUUUUUAACUCUUUCUUCAUACACAAUGCAAUAUUUGUUCAUUUUGAAUAUUUCUAACAAAUAUUGUAUUUCUUGUAUAUAUCUAACAAAUAUAUUUUUUUAUUUCAAUUUAAAUUAAUAUUAUUUCAAUUUAAUUAAUUAUUAAAUUAAUUUCAAUUUAGAUUAAAAUAAUUUCAAUUUAAAUUAAAAUAAUUUCAAUUUAAAUUAAUAUUAUUUCAAUUUAAAUUAAUAUUAUUUCAAUUUAAUUAAUUAUUAAAUCAAAUUAAAAUAAUAUUAAUUAUAAAUUUAUUUAAUUUAUUUUUUUUAAAUGUGG
Long non-coding RNA from Humulus lupulus (European hop), 852 nucleotides. RefSeq lists it as uncharacterized. Lineage: Eukaryota; Viridiplantae; Streptophyta; Magnoliopsida; Rosales; Cannabaceae. The transcript is spliced from 3 exons. The record is from RefSeq and is a predicted model, not a curated record.